RNAcentral lists this ribosomal RNA (253 nucleotides) under uncultured bacterium. Its description in RNAcentral is "partial 16S ribosomal RNA". It matches the Rfam family "Bacterial small subunit ribosomal RNA", at positions 524 to 776 of the family's 1533-position model. The record is from RNAcentral.
GACAGAGGGUGCAAACGUUGUUCGGAAUUACUGGGCGUAAAGCGAGUGUAGGCGGUUUGGAAAGUCGGAUGUGAAAUCCCGGGGCUCAACCUCGGAACUGCCUUUGAUACAGCACGUCUCGAGUCCGGAAGAGGUGGGUGGAAUUCCUAGUGUAGAGGUGAAAUUCGUAGAUAUUAGGAAGAACACCGGUGGCGAAGGCGGCCCACUGGUCCGGUACUGACGCUGAGGUGCGAAAGCGUGGGGAGCAAACAGG